AGGUCAAGUGAAGAAGGGCGCACGGUGAAUGCCUUGGCACUGGAAGCCGAUGAAGGACGCGACUAACCGCGAAAGUCUUCGGGGAGCCGUAAGUAGGCUUUGAUCCGGAGGUCUCCGAAUGGGGGAACCCAGCAUGUGCAGACAUGCUAUCCUUAAGUGAAUACAUAGCUUAAGGAGGGAACACGCAGUGAACUGAAACAUCUAAGUAGCUGCAGGAAGAGAAAGAAAUAUCGAUUUCC
RNAcentral lists this ribosomal RNA (239 nucleotides) under Lactobacillus delbrueckii subsp. bulgaricus. RNAcentral's name for it is "partial 23S ribosomal RNA". It matches the Rfam family "Bacterial large subunit ribosomal RNA", at positions 1 to 239 of the family's 2925-position model. The record is from RNAcentral. Lineage: Bacteria; Bacillati; Bacillota; Bacilli; Lactobacillales; Lactobacillaceae.